CCCUUAGAUGUUCUGGGCCGCACGCGCGCCACACUGACGGAUUCAACGAGCUUACAACCUUGGCCGAAAGGUCUGGGUAAUCUCCAAAAUCCGUCGUGAUGGGGAUAGAUUAUUGCAAUUAUUAAUCUUCAACGAGGAAUGCCUAGUAAGCGCAAGUCAUCAGCUUGCGUUGAUUACGUCCCUGCCCUUUGUACACACCGCCCGUCGCUCCUACCGAUUGAAUGGUCCGGUGAAGCGUUUGGACUAUGGUUUUCUGAUGGUCCGCCGUUGGAUUACCGUGGGAAGUUCGUUAAACCUUAUCAUUUAGAGGAAGGAGAAGUCGUAACA
RNAcentral lists this ribosomal RNA (327 nucleotides) under uncultured eukaryote. Its description in RNAcentral is "partial 18S ribosomal RNA". It matches the Rfam family "Eukaryotic small subunit ribosomal RNA", at positions 1470 to 1796 of the family's 1831-position model. The record is from RNAcentral.